UUGACAGAAGAGAGAGAGCACAACCCGGCAUCAGCAAAGGGUCUUUGUUUCUGGUGGGAGUGUGCUCUUUCUUCUUCUGUCAG
RNAcentral lists this microRNA precursor (83 nucleotides) under Olea europaea subsp. europaea. Lineage: Eukaryota; Viridiplantae; Streptophyta; Magnoliopsida; Lamiales; Oleaceae. The record is from RNAcentral.